CCUACGGGUUGCACCAGUGGGGAAUAUUGGACAAUGGGCGAAAGCCUGAUCCAGCAAUGCCGCGUGUGUGAAGAAGGUCUUCGGAUUGUAAAGCACUUUCGACGGGGACGAUGAUGACGGUACCCGUAGAAGAAGCCCCGGCUAACUUCGUGCCAGCAGCCGCGGUAAUACGAAGGGGGUUGGCGUUGCUUGGAAUGACUGGGCGUAAAGGGCGCGUAGGCGGUUUAUGCAGUCAGAUGUGAAAUCCCCGGGCUUAACCUGGGAACUGCAUUUGAGACGCAUAGACUAGAGGUCGAGAGAGGGUUGUGGAAUUCCCAGUGUAGAGGUGAAAUUCGUAGAUAUUGGGAGGAACACCGGUGGUGAAGGCGGCAACCUGGUUCGAUACCGACGCUGAGGCGCGAAAGCGUGGGGAGCUAACAGGAUUAGAUACCCGGGUAGUC
RNAcentral lists this ribosomal RNA (440 nucleotides) under uncultured bacterium. RNAcentral describes it as "bacterial SSU rRNA". It matches the Rfam family "Bacterial small subunit ribosomal RNA", at positions 338 to 795 of the family's 1533-position model. The record is from RNAcentral.